Long non-coding RNA from Oncorhynchus tshawytscha (Chinook salmon), 586 nucleotides. The record is from Ensembl. Lineage: Eukaryota; Metazoa; Chordata; Actinopteri; Salmoniformes; Salmonidae.
GAGGAGAGGGGGGGAGAGAGAGAAAGGGGGUGGAGAGAGGGGAGAAAGAGGGGAAAAGGAGGAGAGAGAAGGGGGUGGAGAGAGAGGAGAAAGAGGAGGAGAGAGAAGGGGGGGGAGAGAGAGGAGAGAGAGGGGAAAGAGGAGGAGAGAGAAGGGGAGAGAAGGGGGUGGAGAGAGAGGAGAAAGAGGAGGAGAGAGAAGGGGGUGGAGAGAGAGGAGAAAGAGGAGGAGAGAGAAGGGGGUGGAGAGAGAGGAGAAAGAGGAGGAGAGAGAAGGGGGUGGAGAGAGAGGAGAAAGAGGAGGAGAGAGAAGGGGAGAGGAGAAAGAGGAGGAGAGAGAAGGGGGGUGGAGAGAGAGGAGAAAGAGGAGAAGAGAGGAGAGAGGGGAGAAAGAUUAGGAGAGAGGGGAGAAAGAGGAGGAGAGAGCGAGUCUCCAGGCAGUUUUUAUUUUUUUAUUUUUUUUAUUUCACCUUUAUUUAACCAGGUAGGCAAGUUGAGAACAAGUUCUCAUUUACAACUGCGACCUGGCCAAGAUAAAGCAAAGCAGUGCGACACAUACAACGACACAGAGUUACACAUGGAGUAAA